UGGGGAAUAUUUCACAAUGGGCGCAAGCCUGAUGCAGCAACGCCGCGUGAACGAUGAAGGUCUUCGGAUCGUAAAGUUCUGUUGCAGGGGAAGAUAAUGACGGUACCCUGUGAGGAAGCCCCGGCUAACUACGUGCCAGCAGCCGCGGUAAUACGUAGGGGGCUAGCGUUAUCCGGAUUUACUGGGCGUAAAGGGUGCGUAGGUGGUCUUUCAAGUCGGUGGUUAAAGGCUACGGCUCAACCGUAGUUAGCCUCCGAAACUGGAAGACUUGAGUGCAGGAGAGGAAAGUGGAAUUCCCAGUGUAGCGGUGAAAUGCGUAGAUGUUGGGAGGAACACCAGUAGCGAAGGCGGCUUUCUGGACUGCAACUGACACUGAGGCACGAGAGCGUGGGUAGCAAACAGG
RNAcentral lists this ribosomal RNA (403 nucleotides) under Bacteroidota bacterium. RNAcentral describes it as "Bacteroidetes bacterium partial 16S ribosomal RNA". It matches the Rfam family "Bacterial small subunit ribosomal RNA", at positions 355 to 776 of the family's 1533-position model. Lineage: Bacteria; Pseudomonadati; Bacteroidota. The record is from RNAcentral.